RNAcentral lists this ribosomal RNA (497 nucleotides) under uncultured bacterium. Its description in RNAcentral is "partial 16S ribosomal RNA". It matches the Rfam family "Bacterial small subunit ribosomal RNA", at positions 28 to 507 of the family's 1533-position model. The record is from RNAcentral.
GAUGAACGCUGGCGGCGUGCCUAAUACAUGCAAGUCGAGCGAACAGACGAGGAGCUUGCUCCUCUGACGUUAGCGGCGGACGGGUGAGUAACACGUGGAUAACCUACCUAUAAGACUGGGAUAACUUCGGGAAACCGGAGCUAAUACCGGAUAAUAUAUUGAACCGCAUGGUUCAAUAGUGAAAGACGGUUUUGCUGUCACUUAUAGAUGGAUCCGCGCCGCAUUAGCUAGUUGGUAAGGUAACGGCUUACCAAGGCAACGAUGCGUAGCCGACCUGAGAGGGUGAUAGGCCACACUGGAACUGAGACGCGGUCCAGACUCCUACGGGAGGCAGCAGUAGGGAAUCUUCCGCAAUGGGCGAAAGCUUGACGGAGCAACGCCGCGUGAGUGAUGAAGGUCUUCGGAUCGUAAAACUCUGUUAUUAGGGAAGAACAAAUGUGUAAGUAACUAUGCACGUCUUGACGGUACCUAAUCAGAAAGCCACGGCUAACUACGUG